Sander lucioperca (pikeperch) is the source of this 725-nucleotide non-coding RNA. Lineage: Eukaryota; Metazoa; Chordata; Actinopteri; Perciformes; Percidae. The record is from the annotation of a RefSeq genome assembly.
UAUCUGAGUGCAGAGAGGAGGACAGAGAACAGUGGACACACAGUUUAACAUGAUGGACUAUAGGACAGGACUGCUGUUUUUAACUAUCUGCUGGGCAGGUGUUUGCAGUCAGACUCUGACUGAGUCUGAACCAGUGGUAAAGCGCCCUGGAGAAUCCCACAAACUGACCUGUACAUAUGCAGGAAUAUCAGAUGAUAACGCUUAUAUCGCUUGGAUCAGACAAGCUGAAGGAAAAGGACUGGAGUGGGUUGCCUACAUUUCUGCUCCAAGUGGAAGCACUAAAGCUUAUUCAACAUCGGUCCAGAAUCGCUUCACCAUAUCCAGAGACAACAACGUGGACCAGGUGUAUCUGCAGAUGAACAGCCUGAAGACUGAAGACUCUGCUGUUUAUUAUUGUGCUCGAGAGCCACAGUGACACAGGAAGCCACAGAGCUGUACACAAACCACUGCAGAUGUCACUGUGACAGUCACUGAUAGAAAGUGCAAGUUUAAAUACCCCAUAAUUCACAGUAUUUGAUGUAUUUCCCCACACUAUGCUUUUGUCACAACUUGCCCUAAACAGAAACAAAAAGUGGAGUUCACACACCAUCAGGAUUAUUAUCUCUUAUAUGAGGCUGAGCUGUAAGAACAAUAACAAAAAAAUGAUCUGAGUCUUUCCUGACCUCUCACUACUGAUGGCUUGCCAACAGGUCCAAAUAAAAAAAAAAAAAAAAAACAUUCAUCAU